AGUCGUAACAAGGUCUCCGUUGGUGAACCAGCGGAGGGAUCAUUGCUGGAACGCGCCCCAGGCGCACCCAGAAACCCUUUGUGAACUUAUACCUUACUGUUGCCUCGGCGCAUGCUGGCCCCCUCGGGGCCCCCUGGAGACAGGGAGCAGGCACGCCGGCGGCCAAGUUAACUCUUGUUUUUACACUGAAACUCUGAGAAAAAACACAAAUGAAUCAAAACUUUCAACAACGGAUCUCUUGGUUCUGGCAUCGAUGAAGAACGCAGCGAAAUGCGAUAAGUAAUGUGAAUUGCAGAAUUCAGUGAAUCAUCGAAUCUUUGAACGCACAUUGCGCCCUCUGGUAUUCCGGAGGGCAUGCCUGUUCGAGCGUCAUUUCAACCCUCAAGCAUUGCUUGGUGUUGGGGCACUGCUUUUAACGAAGCAGGCCCUGAAAUCCAGUGGCGAGCUCGCCAGGACCCCGAGCGUAGUAGUUAAACCCUCGCUUUGGAAGGCCCUGGCGGUGCCCUGCCGUUAAACCCCCAACUUUUGAAAAUUUGACCUCGGAUCAGGUAG
RNAcentral lists this ribosomal RNA (552 nucleotides) under Diaporthe helianthi. RNAcentral's name for it is "eukaryotic LSU rRNA". The stretch from base 219 to 372 matches the Rfam family "5.8S ribosomal RNA". Lineage: Eukaryota; Fungi; Ascomycota; Sordariomycetes; Diaporthales; Diaporthaceae. The record is from RNAcentral.